This 466-nucleotide ribosomal RNA is filed under the name uncultured bacterium. Its description in RNAcentral is "partial 16S ribosomal RNA". It matches the Rfam family "Bacterial small subunit ribosomal RNA", at positions 28 to 505 of the family's 1533-position model. The record is from RNAcentral.
GACGAACGCUGGCGGCGUGCUUAACACAUGCAAGUCGAACGGAAAGGCCCUGCUUUUGUGGGGUGCUCGAGUGGCGAACGGGUGAGUAACACGUGAGUAACCUGCCCUUGACUUUGGGAUAACUUCAGGAAACUGGGGCUAAUACCGGAUAGGAGCUCCUGCUGCAUGGUGGGGGUUGGAAAGUUUCGGCGGUUGGGGAUGGACUCGCGGCUUAUCAGCUUGUUGGUGGGGUAGUGGCUUACCAAGGCUUUGACGGGUAGCCGGCCUGAGAGGGUGACCGGCCACAUUGGGACUGAGAUACGGCCCAGACGCCUACGGGAGGCAGCAGUGGGGAAUAUUGCACAAUGGGCGGAAGCCUGAUGAAGCAACGCCGCGUGCGGGAUGACGGCCUUCGGGUUGUAAACCGCUUUCGCCUGUGACGAAGCGUGAGUGACGGUAAUGGGUAAAGAAGCACCGGCUAACUACG